GACGAACGCUGGCGGCGUGCUUAACACAUGCAAGUCGAACGGUGAUGCUCCAGCUUGCUGGAGUGGAUCAGUGGCGAACGGGUGAGUAACACGUGAGCAACCUGCCCCAGACUCUGGAAUAAGCGCUGGAAACGGCGUCUAAUACUGGAUACGAAACUGGCCCGCAUGGGCAUGGUUUGGAAAGUUUUUCGGUUUGGGAUGGGCUCGCGGCCUAUCAGCUUGUUGGUGAGGUAAUGGCUCACCAAGGCGACGACGGGUAGCCGGCCUGAGAGGGCGACCGGCCGAACUGGGACUGAGACAGGGCCCAGACCCGAGGGGGGGGAAGGAGGGGAAAAUAUGCCCAAGGGGGGGAAAGCGUGAUACGGCGGCCCCGGGGGAGGAAUGAGGGCUUGGGGGUUGAAAACCUCUGCCGGCGGGAAAGAAGGGAAAGGGAGGGUACCUAAAGAAAAAGCCCCGGCAAACUACGUG
Molecule: ribosomal RNA, 468 nt
Filed under: uncultured bacterium
Lineage: Bacteria
Description: partial 16S ribosomal RNA
Rfam family: Bacterial small subunit ribosomal RNA
Source: RNAcentral